CCAAACGUCAAACGCGCUUAUCUUCUCUCUUCAUUUACCCCCAAAAUAGUUUCUGGAGAGAUGCUUGUCAACGAAGGAGGAUCUCAUCAUAAAGAAAAAGGCAGGGGCUGCUGUGGUUGGAUUAGUUAGAUUUGUUCUGAAUCUUAUUAAUUUUGAUGUAUUUGAUGACUGAAGUUUUGAUGUAUUUGAUUAUUGAAAAGGAUAAAAUGAUUAACAAUCUUUGCUCAAGUUGAAGAGGUCUGGCUACUGGAAGAAAUGUCAUCCUUUUACUCCUUAUCCCACUCAUACAAAAGUGUCAAUGGGUCAUUCAUGCCUGUGGUUUUACAUGGUGGCCAUAUCCCUUCCUUGAGCUUGACAAAUCAUGGGCACCUCUAUGGUAUCUUGCAAUGGCAGUGAUUCACAUCCCCUGUUAUGGGGCAUACGCGUUGAUAAUAAAAGCCAGAGAUUCGGUUCUCCCCAAAUGGUUUCCUCAUGCCUUUAUCCGCUCAUCCUAGUUGCUUUCGUCCUUAAUUCUGAAAUUGCUGUUAUUCCCAAUUUUAGUGUUGUGUGUAGGUAAACGAGGAAAUGUUCUGUUUCUUCAAAAAUAAUCAUAGGUUCUUCUCUCCUACGGAACAAUAGGGUGAGAUUCACAUACUUCUGUUAAAGAUGUUUUACAGUUGAUUUGGCAAAAAAACUACCCCAGAGGAAUCGUUGCCAAUUAUUUUCAUCUCAUUAGAGCUUCCUCUCUC
Molecule: long non-coding RNA, 728 nt
Organism: Tripterygium wilfordii
Lineage: Eukaryota; Viridiplantae; Streptophyta; Magnoliopsida; Celastrales; Celastraceae
Exons: 3
Source: RefSeq, a predicted model, not a curated record